GAUGAACGCUGGCGGCGUGCCUAAUACAUGCAAGUCGAGCGAACAGGCGAGGAGCUUGCUCCUCUGACGUUAGCGGCGGACGGGUGAGUAACACGUGGAUAACCUACCUAUAAGACUGGGAUAACUUCGGGAAACCGGAGCUAAUACCGGAUAAUAUAUUGAACCGCAUGGUUCAAUAGUGAAAGACGGUUUUGCUGUCACUUAUAGAUGGAUCCGCGCCGCAUUAGCUAGUUGGUAAGGUAACGGCUUACCAAGGCAACGAUGCGUAGCCGACCUGAGAGGGUGAUCGGCCACACUGGAACUGAGACACGGUCCAGACUCCUACGGGAGGCAGCAGUAGGGAGUCUUCCGCAAUGGGCGAAAGCCUGACGGAGCAACGCCGCGUGAGUGAUGAAGGUCUUCGGAUCGUAAAACUCUGUUAUUAGGGAAGAACAAAUGUGUAAGUAACUAUGCACGUCUUGACGGUACCUAAUCAGAAAGCCACGGCUAACUACGUG
This 497-nucleotide ribosomal RNA is filed under the name uncultured bacterium. RNAcentral describes it as "partial 16S ribosomal RNA". It matches the Rfam family "Bacterial small subunit ribosomal RNA", at positions 28 to 507 of the family's 1533-position model. The record is from RNAcentral.